RNAcentral lists this ribosomal RNA (336 nucleotides) under Triticum aestivum (bread wheat). Its description in RNAcentral is "partial small subunit ribosomal RNA". Lineage: Eukaryota; Viridiplantae; Streptophyta; Magnoliopsida; Poales; Poaceae. The record is from RNAcentral.
CUUUUGGACAUCCGUGAUCUUCAUGAAGGGCCUUUGGUGCUCGUAAGGGAUUUUAACCUUCUUGUCAACCCCAGAGACAAGAACAAUGAUCUGAUCAACCGAAGGAUGAUUUCAAGAUUCCAAUCUUGGCUAAAAGUCCUUAUGGAGAUUUACCUCAAUGGCGGUAGGUACACACAGUCCAACGAGCGGGAAAAUGCUACUUUGGAGAAGAUUGAUCAUGUUUUCGCAAUUAUUUUCUGGGAGGAACUACACCCACCUUGCUUCCUCUCGCCUUGGGCACCGCGGUCUCUGACCAUUGCUUGUUGCUGUUGCACCUCAACACGGAGUUCCAAGUGG